Molecule: ribosomal RNA, 433 nt
Filed under: uncultured bacterium
Lineage: Bacteria
Description: bacterial SSU rRNA
Rfam family: Bacterial small subunit ribosomal RNA
Source: RNAcentral
UGAGGAAUAUUGGUCAAUGGGCGGGAGCCUGAACCAGCCAAGCCGCGUGAGGGAAGAAGGCCCUAUGGGUCGUAAACCUCUUUUGUCAGGGAACAAAAGCGAGUAUGUAUACUAGUCUGAGUGUACCUGAAGAAAAAGCAUCGGCUAACUCCGUGCCAGCAGCCGCGGUAAUACGGAGGAUGCGAGCGUUAUCCGGAUUUAUUGGGUUUAAAGGGUGCGUAGGCGGCGAUGCAAGUCAGCGGUAAAAGCCCGGGGCUCAACCCCGGGCGAGCCGUUGAAACUGCAGUGCUAGAGAAGGCGAGAGGUACGCGGAAUGCGCAGUGUAGCGGUGAAAUGCUUAGAUAUUGCGCAGAACUCCGAUUGCGAGGCAGCGUACUGGCGCCUGACUGACGCUGAGGCACGAAAGCGUGGGGAUCGAACAGGAUUAGAUACC